UUCAGUGACCGUCUUUCAUGGCAUAAGCUGCUACACUUCAAGCUUGAGAGAAAAUCAUGAUACAGGGAUACCAUGAUUGCUGAGAAUCGAGAGGAGUGAGGGAGGAAUGAGUUGAUAUGGCGAUGGAGGAAAUGUGAGAACUAGAAGGUUCUAAGAAUAUGUAGGAUAAGAGAGAAAUUGAGAGUAAAAGGGGAUACAAG
Molecule: long non-coding RNA, 200 nt
Filed under: Nicotiana benthamiana
Lineage: Eukaryota; Viridiplantae; Streptophyta; Magnoliopsida; Solanales; Solanaceae
Description: long non-coding RNA (NBEN_LNC014963)
Source: RNAcentral